ACCGACACCUUCUUCCCAGUGCGGCCCGGGCUGCGGCCCCGGGUCCGAGGAGGCCCGGGGAGACCCGGAGGAGGUGGAAACUGAGACCCAGAGAGCCGUGACUUGACUGAUCCCACAGCCAGGAAAUGGUGGAGCCUGGAUUUGAACCCCAGCUUUUAAGAAGAAGGUGCCACUGUCCUGGAAGAACUCUCAGGACAGCAUUAGUGUCUCAGGGAUCCCCCUAAUCGGAGGGGCCUUAAGGCAACCUAAUCAUGAUUGUCACUGAAGAUCCAGGAGGGCUUCCUGGAGGAGGAGGCAGCUCCAUUCUGAAAUGCCAAGGGUACAGCUUUAUUGGGACAGCCAGUGUCUCUGAAUAUGUAGGUUUUGCACAGAGCUUGUACUGCCCCAGGGCCUGUACACUGCCUGUCCCCUCUGCCUUGUGCACUCUUUCCCUAGAUGUCCAAAUGGCUCCUUUCCUCACCUACCCCAAAUCUCAAUUCCAGUGUUUCCCCAGCCUCCCCUCAUUUCAGUAAUCACUCUGCAGUGAGCUAGGAUUGCGCCACUGCACUCCAGCUUGGAUAAGAGAACAAGACCCUGUCUCUUAACUAAAUACAUAAAUAAAAAUAAUUCCCCUCUUCAUCCCUCUUUACCCUGUUUUGAUGGUUUUGUUCAAC
RNAcentral lists this long non-coding RNA (653 nucleotides) under Homo sapiens (human). RNAcentral's name for it is "non-protein coding lnc-TNFAIP8L1-1:10". Lineage: Eukaryota; Metazoa; Chordata; Mammalia; Primates; Hominidae. The record is from RNAcentral.